AGGGAAUAUUGGACAAUGGGGGAAACCCUGAUCCAGCAAUGCCGCGUGAGUGAUGAAGGCCUUAGGGUUGUAAAGCUCUUUUACCCGAGAUGAUAAUGACAGUAUCGGGAGAAUAAGCUCCGGCUAACUCCGUGCCAGCAGCCGCGGUAAUACGGAGGGAGCUAGCGUUGUUCGGAAUUACUGGGCGUAAAGCGCACGUAGGCGGCGAUCUAAGUCAGAGGUGAAAGCCUGGAGCUCAACUCCAGAACUGCCUUUGAGACUGGAUUGCUAGAAUCCGGGAGAGGUGAGUGGAAUUCCGAGUGUAGAGGUGAAAUUCGUAGAUAUUCGGAAGAACACCAGUGGCGAAGGCGGCUCACUGGACCGGCAUUGACGCUGAGGUGCGAAAGCGUGGGGAGCAAAC
This 400-nucleotide ribosomal RNA is filed under the name uncultured bacterium. RNAcentral describes it as "bacterial SSU rRNA". It matches the Rfam family "Bacterial small subunit ribosomal RNA", at positions 356 to 773 of the family's 1533-position model. The record is from RNAcentral.